GGCUUUCAAGAUCGGCCAUUCUUUCUCCUCCGGUUCUAGAUCUAUUAACCUAUUGAUUAGAUCUAUCGCUUCUAGAAGCUUGCGGGAUUUGAUCCUUACCUCCAUUAGCGAGCGGAGGGCGGAAACGUCGUCGGGGUGGGAGGAUAGGUGGUUUUCGAGCGAUGUCUCUUCUUCUUCCAGCGAAACGGUGACGUUUUGAUGGUUUAAGGAUUCUACUGAGGGAGUCAGGGGAGAUGCGAUCGCUGGAGGGGGUUUGAGGUGGAGAUUCGCGAGGAAGAGGGCGGAGGCGGCGGUGAAGGUGACGCAUGUGGAUUUGAGGAGACGGGAAGGUAGUGAUGAUUUCGAUGACGAAGAAGCUCUGAUGGAAGCGCGUUUGAAGGAUUUGAAGGAAAGUGACGAAGGUUUUUGGGGAAAUGAUGAAGGGGAUUGAGUGAGGGAGAGGUGGAUUGGGUGUUGAUUGAGGUGUAGCUUCCCUAGAGACUCCAUGGUUGGUUGGUUGAGGAAUGUGCAGAGAGAGAGAUAAACCCUAGAAACCCUAGAGCGAGAUCGAGGAAGAAGAUCAAAAAGGCUUGAGAGUUUCGAAUGUACUUGCGAGAUACGACGGCGUUUCGAAGAGAAAGAUGUCACAAAUUUGGGCCCUUAGUGGGCCGGAGCUAGUUUGUGGGCUUAAAGCUAGGACAAGUAAGUCUGCUCAUAAUCUUAGAACCGGAUACUGGUAGGUCAUAACCGGUCUGCUUUUCAAUUAACUCGAAUGUUUGAUGAGGGGAAUUGAGCACCAAUCGGGACAAAACCGCUUGAUUUGGUUCUAAAUUGAAGUGAAAAUCAAGUAAAUUAAUUCUCAAUAAAUUAAGAUUUAACAUGUAAUAGCAUAAGCUGUAUCUAUUACUUUUACUUCUUAUUCUGUAAAAUAUUAUUUUGGAAAAUAAGAUCCAUAUAUAAGAUGGAUUACUCUACAAUUCAGUUUAAAACUAUUAAUCCAGCUUGAUCUUGUUUUUUUUUCAAAAUAUUAGUAUUUUUUUUUUGCCUUUUUGGCACACCUUUUUUCCAAAAAAGAAUAAAAUCAGAAAUUACAUUAUUUUUUCCCCAAAAGAUACUGCUUUUUUUCUUCCUUUCGUGUUAAACUUCAACUUGUGGCGUGGAGGAUUAGAACAAGUACUUUAUUAUUAUUUUUCUUUUUGAAAAUGGAUUACUUGACACACAGUGAUCCUAAAGAUGAUAUAAAAAUAAAUAAAAAAUCUGGUGUUAAUAAUAUGUAAUAUAGGAAACAUACAUCUAUUGAAAUCAAAUUUGUGUAAGCUAUAUUUGCAUAAUAAUGGGAUCAUUAGCCGAGCAUAUUAGUUUACUUUUGAAAUUAAGGUGAUUAUUAGUGGUACUGGUCAAGUAAUUCAAACUUUGGGAACCAGCCGGGCCCAUAUUCAUUUUCUCUGUGUAUGCAGCAUAUAACACACUCCGCUCAGAGUUUCCCAAACGGUUACUUUUCAAAUUUCAAACCAGAAAAAAAAAAAAAAAAAGUUCCCAUCGUUGCGAAUCUCAAAGAAGAACCCUAAACCUUGUUCGUGCUCGAUUCGAAAUUCGAACUCUCCCCUUCCGGGCUUGUGUUUCUGUAAGUGAAUCUGAAUCCACCUUUUUGAUUUUCGAUUUGAGUUCAAUAAUGAUUUUUCCAUUUUUUGAUUUUUUUUUCUCAGAACAUCCAACACCAAGUAGUUAUGUCUUUCACUCCCGACGUUACAAGAAAAAGCGGAGUGGGAGUGAUCCCAUCUCCAGCUCCGUUCCUCACUCCUCGUCCCGAGAGAAGACGGCCUGAUUCUUCUUGCUUCUCCUCCCGCCUCGAAAGAGAGAAAGAAGUCAACGUUCAGGUCCUUCUUCGUUGCAGACCGUUAAGCGAAGAGGAGCAGAAAUCGAACGUCCCUAGAGUCAUUUCCUGUAACGAGCUCAGGAAAGAAGUCAGCGUUGCUAAUAAGCAAGUGGACCGUCUCUUCACUUUCGACAAGGUCCGUUUCUUUUUUUGUUCUUUGGUUAUGAUUUGUAGUCCAUACAUAUAAAUGUUUUGGACUAUUUAAUGUUACAUAUCAUUGUUCUAAAAAUAGGUAUAGGCAGCGUCUAGUCGAUUUAUUUACUAAUUGAAUUUUCAAAAAAAUUGGACCGUCUAGGGAUUUCUUAAACAUGCUCUGUUCUUUGUUGGUAUUGAUGGUGUUUUUUUUUUAUAGGUUUUUGGGCCUAAAGCACAACAAAGAUCUAUAUAUGACCAAGCCAUUGCACCUAUUGUUCAUGAAGUGUUGGAAGGUUUUAGCUGCACUGUGUUUGCCUAUGGACAGACAGGAACCGGGAAGACUUAUACUAUGGAAGGCGGCAUGCGUAAAAAGGUAUCUCAUUUUGUUUUUCAUGUUUCUGUUUGUUGUUGAAGGCUUAAAACCAGUAAUCUAGUUUAGAGACUAAUCAAAUAAUAAUGAAAAAAGAUUAGGGCCAAAGAGACUUUGUACACUUCAGUAAACGGAAUCUUUGGUCCUAAUCUCUUUCGUUAUUGUUUGAUCAGUCUCUAAACUAGAUUACCGGUUUUAAGGCUUCAACAUUUGUGACUUGAUUCUGUUAUGAUCUGUGGCUUAGAAGAUUGUGAAUAUGGAUGUGGCAAGUCUCAAACUGUUAUUGAAGUCAUUAGGAGAGUAACAGAAUUGUAAAGAUGAGAGUACUACUAUAAUUAGAAGAGAGGAGUGUACUUAGAGUAUAUGCAUCUUGUGAGACUUGUGUGGUGGAAAAGUCUUUGUCAAACCUUAGGUUCUUGAGUAUAAUUGGUGUUCUUGAUCAAUGUAUCCGUGUGUUCUUAUCAGAUUCAAGUUGUUGUUUUUUUGUCUAGGGAGGGGAUUUACCUGUGGAGGCUGGGGUGAUUCCUAGAGCUGUUAGGCAUAUAUUCGAAACUCUUGAGGCUCAAAAGGCUGACUACAGUAUGAAAGUCACGUUCUUGGAGCUGUACAACGAAGAAGUCACAGACUUGUUAGCUCAAGAAGACUCUUCAUCAAGAUCAUCUUCUGACGAUAAGCAGAAGUCCCUUCUUAAGAAGCGUGUAUAUAAUCCCCUGACACAGAUACGGCCUAAAAUCCCUCGGCUCCUCCUUCACCAGCUCCUGAUACAGCUUCAGCGCCUCCUCAUGCUUCCCUUCGAGCACCCGAAUCUGCGCCACAAGAAGCUUAAAGUCCCUAAGGUCCUUCACAUUCCUCUCCUUCUUGCACCUCACCAUGGCCUCGCGAAUCCUCCCCUCCACGGCCUUUAAAUCAUCUCCCGAAUCGGAGUAGGCCAUGGCGAGGCCGUGGUAGGCCUCGACGCGGAGAGGAUCCUUGGAUAUGAUCUCCUCGAAGGCGUUCUUGGCGGAUUCUGAGUCUCCGCUGUGGGAUAAGAUGUUGGCUUUCAAGAUCGGCCAUUCUUUCUCCUCCGGUUCUAGAUCUAUUAACCUAUUGAUUAGAUCUAUCGCUUCUAGAAGCUUGCGGGAUUUGAUCCUUACCUCCAUUAGCGAGCGGAGGGCGGAAACGUCGUCGGGGUGGGAGGAUAGGUGGUUUUCGAGCGAUGUCUCUUCUUCUUCCAGCGAAACGGUGACGUUUUGAUGGUUUAAGGAUUCUACUGAGGGAGUCAGGGGAGAUGCGAUCGCUGGAGGGGGUUUGAGGUGGAGAUUCGCGAGGAAGAGGGCGGAGGCGGCGGUGAAGGUGACGCAUGUGGAUUUGAGGAGACGGGAAGGUAGUGAUGAUUUCGAUGACGAAGAAGCUCUGAUGGAAGCGCGUUUGAAGGAUUUGAAGGAAAGUGACGAAGGUUUUUGGGGAAAUGAUGAAGGGGAUUGAGUGAGGGAGAGGUGGAUUGGGUGUUGAUUGAGGUGUAGCUUCCCUAGAGACUCCAUGGUUGGUUGGUUGAGGAAUGUGCAGAGAGAGAGAUAAACCCUAGAAACCCUAGAGCGAGAUCGAGGAAGAAGAUCAAAAAGGCUUGAGAGUU
This 3972-nucleotide long non-coding RNA is filed under the name Brassica napus (rape). RNAcentral describes it as "long non-coding RNA (BNAP_LNC016541)". Lineage: Eukaryota; Viridiplantae; Streptophyta; Magnoliopsida; Brassicales; Brassicaceae. The record is from RNAcentral.